UACGUAGGGGGCAAGCGUUGUCCGGAUUUAUUGGGCGUAAAGAGCGUGUAGGCGGCCAGGUAGGUCCGUUGUGAAAACUCGAGGCUCAACCUCGAGACGUCGAUGGAAACCAUCUGGCUAGAGUCCGGAAGAGGAGAGUGGAAUUCCCGGUGUAGCGGUGAAAUGCGCAGAUAUCGGGAAGAACACCCGUGGCGAAGGCGGCUCUCUGGGACGGUACUGACGCUGAGACGCGAAAGCGUGGGGAGCGAACAG
RNAcentral lists this ribosomal RNA (252 nucleotides) under uncultured prokaryote. Its description in RNAcentral is "partial 16S ribosomal RNA". It matches the Rfam family "Bacterial small subunit ribosomal RNA", at positions 524 to 775 of the family's 1533-position model. The record is from RNAcentral.